GAGGCUGACCGGUCGGACUAAGGGGCGAAAGGUGGUAGGAGAUUGGUCAAAACUGAGGAGUCUGGUUGUAAAAAAGGCAGCGUUAAAAGACAAUUAAUGACAUUAGAAAGAGUGUAAAUAAUUUUAAUGAACGAAUAUUAUAUAAGAAGAAAUAGAAGAUGCGGUCUUUAUGAGCAAUUAAUAUUAAUCGUUGGGCUUGAUGCUUAUAAAUACAAUCUUAAUGACCAGGUAAAGGACAUUUUUUCUAAUCAUAUACACUUUAACCUUCUUGUGACCUAGCUGCCUUGAGCAUCGGAAUAUUUCCCUACAACUCACAACCGUUCGACGUUAAGAAGGAAGUUUUCAGUAGGCGUUGGAAGAUCAGCGGAUUGAAGAGAAAUUUGGAGUGUCUUCAGUCUCGGAUCCCAUAACCGAAACAUAUGCAUACAUACAUACAUAGAUACAUACAUAUAUAUAUAUA
RNAcentral lists this long non-coding RNA (460 nucleotides) under Vigna radiata. Its description in RNAcentral is "long non-coding RNA (VRAD_LNC001519)". Lineage: Eukaryota; Viridiplantae; Streptophyta; Magnoliopsida; Fabales; Fabaceae. The record is from RNAcentral.